Molecule: ribosomal RNA, 497 nt
Filed under: uncultured bacterium
Lineage: Bacteria
Description: partial 16S ribosomal RNA
Rfam family: Bacterial small subunit ribosomal RNA
Source: RNAcentral
GAUGAACGCUGGCGGCGUGCCUAAUACAUCCAAGUCGAGCGAACAGACGAGGAGCUUGCUCCUCUGACGUUGGCGGCGGACGGGUGAGUAACACGUGGAUAACCUACCUAUAAGACUGGGAUAACUUCGGGAAACCGGAGCUAAUACCGGAUAAUAUAUUGAACCGCAUGGUUCAAUAGUGAAAGACGGUUUUGCUGUCACUUAUAGAUGGAUCCGCGCCGCAUUAGCUAGUUGGUAAGGUAACGGCUUACCAAGGCAACGAUGCGUAGCCGACCUGAGAGGGUGAUCGGCCACACUGGAACUGAGACACGGUCCAGACUCCUACGGGAGGCAGCAGUAGGGAAUCUUCCGCAAUGGGCGAAAGCCUGACGGAGCAACGCCGCGUGAGUGAUGAAGGUCUUCGGAUCGUAAAACUCUGUUAUUAGGGAAGAACAAAUGUGUAAGUAACUAUGCACGUCUUGACGGUACCUAAUCAGAAAGCCACGGCUAACUACGUG